RNAcentral lists this ribosomal RNA (253 nucleotides) under uncultured bacterium. RNAcentral describes it as "partial 16S ribosomal RNA". It matches the Rfam family "Bacterial small subunit ribosomal RNA", at positions 524 to 776 of the family's 1533-position model. The record is from RNAcentral.
UACAGAGGUCCCAAGCGUUGUUCGGAAUUACUGGGCGUAAAGGGUUCGUAGGUGGCCACUUAAGUCAGACGUGAAAUCCCUCAGCUUAACUGGGGAACUGCGUCUGAUACUGCGUGGCUUGAGUGCAGGAGAGGAAUGCGGAAUUCCAGGUGUAGCGGUGAAAUGCGUAGAUAUCUGGAGGAACACCGGUGGCGAAGGCGGCAUUCUGGACUGUAACUGACACUGAUGAACGAAAGCCAGGGGAGCAAACGGG